CCUACGGGAGGCAGCAGUGAGGAAUAUUGGUCAAUGGACGAGAGUCUGAACCAGCCAAGUAGCGUGAAGGAUGACUGCCCUAUGGGUUGUAAACUUCUUUUAUAUGGGAGUAAACUGUUCCACGUGUGGGCUUUUGUAUGUACCAUAUGAGUAAGGAUCGGCUAACUCCGUGCCAGCAGCCGCGGUAAUACGGAGGGUCCGAGCGUUACCCGGAUUUAUUUGGCUUAAAGGGCGCGUAGGUGGAUUGUCAAGUCAGUUGUGAAAGUUUGCGGCUCAACCGUAAAAUUGCAGUUGAAACUGGCAGUCUAGAGUACAGUAGAGGUGGGUGGAAUUCGUGGUGUAGCGGUGAAAUGCUUAGAGAUCACGAAGAAUUCCGAUUGCGAAGGCAGCUCACUGGACUACAACUGACACUGAGGCGCGAAAGUGUGGGGAGCAAACAGGAUUAGAUACCCGGGUAGUC
RNAcentral lists this ribosomal RNA (460 nucleotides) under uncultured bacterium. RNAcentral describes it as "partial 16S ribosomal RNA". It matches the Rfam family "Bacterial small subunit ribosomal RNA", at positions 338 to 795 of the family's 1533-position model. The record is from RNAcentral.